Molecule: ribosomal RNA, 254 nt
Filed under: uncultured bacterium
Lineage: Bacteria
Description: partial 16S ribosomal RNA
Rfam family: Bacterial small subunit ribosomal RNA
Source: RNAcentral
UACAGAGGUCUCAAGCGUUGUUCGGAUUCAUUGGGCGUAAAGGGUGCGUAGGCGGCCGCCUAAGUCAGACGUGAAAUCCCUCGGCUCAACCGGGGAACUGCGUCUGAUACUGGGUGGCUUGAAUCCGGGAGAGGGAUGCGGAAUUCCCGGUGUAGCGGUGAAAUGCGCAGAUAUCGGGAGGAACACCGGUGGCGAAGGCGGUUCUCUGGGCCUUACCUGACGGCUGAGGAGCGAAAGCGUGGGGAGCGAACAGG